RNAcentral lists this ribosomal RNA (254 nucleotides) under uncultured bacterium. Its description in RNAcentral is "partial 16S ribosomal RNA". It matches the Rfam family "Bacterial small subunit ribosomal RNA", at positions 100 to 353 of the family's 1533-position model. The record is from RNAcentral.
ACGGGUGGAGUAACGCGUGGGUAACCUGCCUUAUACAGGGGGAGUAACAGUCAGAAAUGGCUGCUAAUACCGCAUAAGCGCACAGAGCUGCAUGGCUCAGUGUGAAAAACUCCGGUGGUAUAAGAUGGACCCGCGUUGGAUUAGCUUGUUGGCAGGGUAACGGCCUACCAAGGCGACGAUCCAUAGCCGGCCUGAGAGGGUGAACGGCCACAUUGGGACUGAGACACGGCCCAGACUCUACGGGAGGCAGCAUG